RNAcentral lists this ribosomal RNA (425 nucleotides) under uncultured bacterium. Its description in RNAcentral is "partial 16S ribosomal RNA". It matches the Rfam family "Bacterial small subunit ribosomal RNA", at positions 354 to 796 of the family's 1533-position model. The record is from RNAcentral.
GUGGGGAAUCUUGCGCAAUGGGCGAAAGCCUGACGCAGCCAUGCCGCGUGAAUGAUGAAGGUCUUAGGAUUGUAAAAUUCUUUCACCGGGGACGAUAAUGACGGUACCCGGAGAAGAAGCUCCGGCUAACUUCGUGCCAGCAGCCGCGGUAAUACGAAGGGGGCUAGCGUUGCUCGGAAUUACUGGGCGUAAAGGGCGCGUAGGCGGACAGCUUAGUCAGAGGUGAAAGCCCAGGGCUCAACCUUGGAAUUGCCUUGGAUACUGGCUGUCUUGAGUUUGGGAGAGGUGAGUGGAACUCCGAGUGUAGAGGUGAAAUUCGUAGAUAUUCGGAAGAACACCAGUGGCGAAGGCGACUCACUGGCCCAAUACUGACGCUGAGGCGCGAAAGCGUGGGGAGCAAACAGGAUUAGAAACCCCAGUAGUCC